CCCGAGUUUGACGACUUCUGGCCGAAGCGACGGAAGUGUCAGGAAGAGUUUAUGAUACUCCCCCCCGAGUUUGACGACUUCUGGCCGAAGCGACAGAAGUGUCAGGAAGAGCUUGGGAUUCUCCCCCCUUGAGAUCAUUAAGGCCGAAGCGUCAAAAUGACCUCUGGUCUACUAAGGCCGAAGCGACAAAGCAGACCGACUCACU
RNAcentral lists this long non-coding RNA (205 nucleotides) under Zostera marina. RNAcentral's name for it is "long non-coding RNA (ZMAR_LNC004577)". The record is from RNAcentral. Lineage: Eukaryota; Viridiplantae; Streptophyta; Magnoliopsida; Alismatales; Zosteraceae.